UACGGGGGGGGUAAGCGUUGUUCGGAAUUACUGGGCGUAAAGGGCUCGUAGGCGGCCAACUAAGUCAGACGUGAAAUCCCUCAGCUUAACUGGGGAACUGCGUCUGAUACUGGUUGGCUUGAGUGCAGGAGAGGAAUGCGGAAUUCCAGGUGUAGCGGUGAAAUGCGUAGAUAUCUGGAGGAACACCGGUGGCGAAGGCGGCAUUCUGGACUGCAACUGACACUGAAAGACGAAAGCCAGGGGAGCAAACGGG
This 253-nucleotide ribosomal RNA is filed under the name uncultured bacterium. RNAcentral describes it as "partial 16S ribosomal RNA". It matches the Rfam family "Bacterial small subunit ribosomal RNA", at positions 524 to 776 of the family's 1533-position model. The record is from RNAcentral.